This 484-nucleotide ribosomal RNA is filed under the name uncultured bacterium. RNAcentral describes it as "partial 16S ribosomal RNA". It matches the Rfam family "Bacterial small subunit ribosomal RNA", at positions 30 to 507 of the family's 1533-position model. The record is from RNAcentral.
AUUGAACGCUGGCGGCAGGCCUAACACAUGCAAGUCGAGCGGAUGAAGGGAGCUUGCUCCUGGAUUCAGCGGCGGACGGGUGAGUAAUGCCUAGGAAUCUGCCUGGUAGUGGGGGAUAACGUCCGGAAACGGGCGCUAAUACCGCAUACGUCCUGAGGGAGAAAGUGGGGGAUCUUCGGACCUCACGCUAUCAGAUGAGCCUAGGUCGGAUUAGCUAGUUGGUGGGGUAAAGGCCUACCAAGGCGACGAUCCGUAACUGGUCUGAGAGGAUGAUCAGUCACACUGGAACUGAGACACGGUCCAGACUCCUACGGGAGGCAGCAGUGGGGAAUAUUGGACAAUGGGCGAAAGCCUGAUCCAGCCAUGCCGCGUGUGUGAAGAAGGUCUUCGGAUUGUAAAGCACUUUAAGUUGGGAGGAAGGGCAGUAAGUUAAUACCUUGCUGUUUUGACGUUACCAACAGAAUAGGCACCGACUAACUUCGUG